UUACGGCCAUAUCCAAUUGAAACACCUAUUCUCGAAGGAUCACCGAAGCUAUGCAACGUCGGGCCUAGAUGGUAUCGAGAUGGGUGACCUCUUGGGAAUACCAGGUGCUGUAA
Acanthosepion pharaonis is the source of this 113-nucleotide non-coding RNA. The record is from the annotation of a GenBank genome assembly. NCBI's taxonomy places the organism in Eukaryota, Metazoa, Mollusca, Cephalopoda, Sepiida, Sepiidae.